Plesiomonas shigelloides 302-73 is the source of this 429-nucleotide regulatory RNA element. It matches the Rfam family "cspA thermoregulator". The record is from Rfam. NCBI's taxonomy places the organism in Bacteria, Pseudomonadati, Pseudomonadota, Gammaproteobacteria, Enterobacterales, Enterobacteriaceae.
AAUGGCUCUGUUGUUAAGAGAGUUAUUAAUAAAGCGUAAAGUAAAAGAAAAACCCUCAGAAUUCCCGCGUAACCGUUGUUAUUCCUUAGUGUUUCCCUUAGCUUCUUGCCUCAUAAAUAAUUCGUUUCCUCAGCGCAACACAAUAAUUUAAUUAAGAAAAGGGACGUAUUAUGUCUACUAAAAGCACUGGUUCAGUAAAAUGGUUUAACGAAGAUAAAGGUUUUGGCUUUAUUGCUCAAGACAACGGCGGCGCAGAUGUAUUUGUACAUUUCCGUGCCAUUAUCUCUGAAGGUUUCAAAACCUUGAAAGAAGGCCAAAAGGUUUCUUUUGAUGUUGAGCAAGGUGCCAAAGGCCCACAAGCGUCUAACGUUACCGCGCUGUAAGCCUCUCUGAUACCAGAAAACGGGCGCCAACCGCCCGUUUUCCUUG